Molecule: ribosomal RNA, 253 nt
Filed under: uncultured prokaryote
Description: partial 16S ribosomal RNA
Rfam family: Bacterial small subunit ribosomal RNA
Source: RNAcentral
ACAGAGGUGGCAAGCGUUGUUCGGAAUUACUGGGCGUAAAGGGCGCGUAGGCGGUUCGGUAAGUCCUGUGUGAAAUCCCUCGGCUCAACUGAGGAACUGCACGGGAGACUGCCGGGCUUGAGUUCGGGAGAGGGAAGCGGAAUUCCGGGUGUAGCGGUGAAAUGCGUAGAUAUCAGGAGGAACACCGGCGGUGUAGACGGCUGUCUGGACAGUAACUGACGCUGAGACACGAAAGCGUGGGGAGCAAACAGGA